This 104-nucleotide small nuclear RNA is filed under the name Camelus bactrianus (Bactrian camel). RNAcentral also lists the same sequence under 1 other name. The record is from RNAcentral. Lineage: Eukaryota; Metazoa; Chordata; Mammalia; Artiodactyla; Camelidae.
GUGCUCGCUUCGACAGCACGUGUACUAAAAUUGGGACAAUACAGAGAUUAGCAUGGCUCCCGUGCAAGGCUGACACGCAAAUUUGUUAAGCUUUCCAUAUUUUU